This 199-nucleotide long non-coding RNA is filed under the name Elaeis guineensis (African oil palm). RNAcentral's name for it is "long non-coding RNA (EGUI_LNC053739)". The record is from RNAcentral. Lineage: Eukaryota; Viridiplantae; Streptophyta; Magnoliopsida; Arecales; Arecaceae.
AGUUACUCCAGGGUAAAGAUGGGGUUUGAUUCAAUAACUAUUAGGUAAGGGACCCAAUGACGGCUUUAUACCUGCUUAUAAACGGUGGGUCUAACUUAACUAAGAAGUGCGGAUAAUAACUGUUAGGUGAGCCUACAUGACUUAGAGACCAAGUGGCUGCAACAUGCUUAGAGAAGCAUCUGGGUAAAGAGUUGUCCAC